RNAcentral lists this transfer RNA (90 nucleotides) under Amylolactobacillus amylophilus DSM 20533 = JCM 1125. RNAcentral describes it as "Lactobacillus amylophilus DSM 20533 = JCM 1125 tRNA". It matches the Rfam family "tRNA". Rfam says of the family: Transfer RNA (tRNA) molecules are approximately 80 nucleotides in length. Their secondary structure includes four short double-helical elements and three loops (D, anti-codon, and T loops). Lineage: Bacteria; Bacillati; Bacillota; Bacilli; Lactobacillales; Lactobacillaceae. The record is from Rfam by way of RNAcentral.
GGAGAAUUGUCCGAGCGGCCGAAGGAGCAUGAUUGGAAAUCAUGUAUAUGGAUUAUAUCUGUAUCAAGGGUUCGAAUCCCUUAUUCUCCG